CCAAGGAGUCUAACAUGUAUGCGAGUCAUUGGGAAUGAAAACCCAAAGGCAUAAUGAAAGUAAAGAAUUCGAUUGCGAAUUUGAGGAGAGAUCAUGGCUUUUAUUGGUAUUCCGCAAGGUUUAUCGGUAAGGGUGUGCGCAUCUCCUGGACGUCUAUACCUCUGAAGGUUGGGCGUACCAAGAGCAUACACGUUGGGACCCGAAAGAUGGUGAACUAUGCCUGGUCAGAACGAAGUCAGGGGAAACUCUGAUGGAGGUUCGUAGCGAUUCUGACGUGCAAAUCGAUCGUCGGAACUGGGUAUAGGGGCGAAAGACUAAUCGAACCAUCUAGUAGCUGGUUCCCUCCGAAGUUUCCCUCAGGAUAGCUGGCGCUUGAUUAAAUCAGUCUCAUCCGGUAAAGCGAAUGAUUAGAGGCCUUGGGGCCGAAACGACCUCAACCUAUUCUCAAACUUUAAAUGGGUGAGAAGUCAGGCUUGCUUAAUCGAAGCUCUGACAAUGGAUGGUGAGUGCCAAGUGGGCCACUCUUGGUAAGCAGGACUGGCGCUGUGGGAUGAACCAAACGUUGGGUUAAGGCGCCCGAAUCGACGCUCAUCAGAUCCCAUAAAAGGCGUUGGUUGCUUAAGACAGCAGGACGGUGGCCAUGGAAGUCGGAA
Molecule: ribosomal RNA, 653 nt
Filed under: Folsomia octoculata
Lineage: Eukaryota; Metazoa; Arthropoda; Collembola; Entomobryomorpha; Isotomidae
Description: eukaryotic LSU rRNA
Rfam family: Eukaryotic large subunit ribosomal RNA
Source: RNAcentral